Molecule: ribosomal RNA, 776 nt
Filed under: uncultured Neocallimastigales
Lineage: Eukaryota; Fungi; Neocallimastigomycota; Neocallimastigomycetes; Neocallimastigales
Description: partial large subunit ribosomal RNA
Rfam family: Eukaryotic large subunit ribosomal RNA
Source: RNAcentral
CGCAUCUGUGCAUGCAGCAUAUCAAUAAGCGGAGGAAAAGAAACUAACAAGGAUUCCCCUAGUAACGGCGAGUGAAGCGGGAAGAGCUCAAAUUUGAAAUCUUAAAGGGUUUCCCUUUACGAAUUGUAGUUUAAAGAAGUGUUUUCUGUUGAGGUUUUGGUAAAAGUUCUUUGGAAUAGGACAUCAUAGAGGGUGAGAAUCCCGUAUUUGACCUUUACUUUCAACUUUGUGAUACACUUUCAAAGAGUCGGAUUGUUUGGGAAUGCAGUCCAAAAUGGGUGGUAAAUUUCAUCUAAAGCUAAAUAUUGGCGAGAGACCGAUAGCGAACAAGUACCGUGAGGGAAAGAUGAAAAGAACUUUGAAAAGAGAGUUAAACAGUACGUGAAAUUGUCAAAAGGGAAGCGUUUGACACCAGUGUUGUUUUUCUGAAAAUCAAUUAAAGAACUGUUUAUGCUAAGCUGUUUAGACUUUAUCAGCUAAUCUGUUUAGUUUUGAGCUUUUCUUUAAUGCAGCUUUUCAGUUAACAAGUCAACAUCAAUUUCUUUUGCUGUAAAAAAGCUUGAGGAAGGUGGCUUGAGAUUCGUCUUAAGUGUUUAUAGCCUCUUGCCUAUGCAGUCGGAGAGAUUGAGGUCUGCAGCGUAGAUCCUUCGGGGCUAAAUGCAUUUGUGCUAAGUUAUAGCAUUUUAUAGACAACUUGUUGACUAUGAUUUGUCUUGUAGCUUACUCGCUUAUGUUAUUUUACCUACGCUUAGGAUGUUGAAUCUGUGCGAGACUAC